RNAcentral lists this long non-coding RNA (415 nucleotides) under Ananas comosus (pineapple). RNAcentral describes it as "long non-coding RNA (ACOM_LNC008252)". Lineage: Eukaryota; Viridiplantae; Streptophyta; Magnoliopsida; Poales; Bromeliaceae. The record is from RNAcentral.
GCAUGCAGCAAAUAAUUAAGAGAAAUUUCAAAUAUCAUCCCUGAAGUUUCACAUUUUUUUUAUUUUAAUACUCUAUAAUUUAAAGUGUAUCAAUUUAGUAUCAUGUAGUUUUAUUUUUAUUUUUUUAUGAUCGAUUCCACUAAUUUUUUUUUAUUAAUCAGUGAUAAAGUUAAAACUAAAAGAUACUAAAGUGAAUAUUCGAUAAACCUAUAUAAAGUAUUUGAAGUUUUUUGUACAUAAUUUAACAAAAUAUUAACGGAGAAGCUGACGAAAAUAUAAAAAUAAAGCUAUGUGACACUAACUUGAUAUAUUUUAAAUCAUAUGGUACUAAAGUGAGAAAGUACGAAACCACAGGAGUGGUAUCUGAAGUUUACCCGAUAAUUAAUUAUUAUAUAUGCAUGGUACCAGGUAGAGU